This 570-nucleotide ribosomal RNA is filed under the name Trigonopterus rinjaniensis. RNAcentral describes it as "partial 16S ribosomal RNA". Lineage: Eukaryota; Metazoa; Arthropoda; Insecta; Coleoptera; Curculionidae. The record is from RNAcentral.
AGAUAGAAACCGMCCUGGCUCMCMCCGGUUUAAACUCAGAUCAUGUAAAAUUUUAAAGGUCGAACAGACCCAAUUUACCAGCUACUGCACCGAUAAUUAAUUUUAAUCCAACAUCGAGGUCGCAAUCUAUUCUUUCGAUGAGAACUCUAAGAAAAAUUACGCUGUUAUCCCUAAGGUAAUUUAUUCUUUUAAUCUAAAAUUUAGGAUCAUAAACUUACAAAUUAGUAUGAUAAUAUAGAAAAGUUAAAUUAGUUUUCCCAUCACCCCAACAAAAUAAGUAAAAAAAGUCCAGUAAAUAAAAAGAUCCUAAUACUUGAACUUUGAUUUACAUAUAAAACUCUAUAGGGUCUUCUCGUCUACUAUAAAAAUUUAAGCUUUUUCACUUAAAAAUAAAAUUUUAACAAAUUUUUUCAGAGACAGCUAUUUUUUCAUCAAACCUUUCAUACAAGCUUUCAAUUAAAAAACUAAUGAUUAUGCUACCUUUGCACGGUCAAUAUACCGCGGCCAUUUAAUCACCUCAGUGGGCAGGUCAGACCUGAAAUCAUAAUCAACAAGCCAUGKUUUUAAUAA